RNAcentral lists this ribosomal RNA (484 nucleotides) under uncultured bacterium. RNAcentral describes it as "partial 16S ribosomal RNA". It matches the Rfam family "Bacterial small subunit ribosomal RNA", at positions 30 to 507 of the family's 1533-position model. The record is from RNAcentral.
AUUGAACGCUGGCGGCAGGCCUAACACAUGCAAGUCGAGCGGAUGAAGGGAGCUUGCUCCUGGAUUCAGCGGCGGACGGGUGAGUAAUGCCUAGGAAUCUGCCUGGUAGUGGGGGAUAACGUCCGGAAACGGGCGCUAAUACCGCAUACGUCCUGAGGGAGAAAGUGGGGGAUCUUCGGACCUCACGCUAUCUGAUGAGCCUAGGUCGGAUUAGCUAGUUGGUGGGGUAAAGGCCUACCAAGGCGACGAUCCGUAACUGGUCUGAGAGGAUGAUCAGUCACACUGGAACUGAGACACGGUCCAGACUCCUACGGGAGGCAGCAGUGGGGAAUAUUGGACAAUGGGCGAAAGCCUGAUCCAGCCAUGCCGCGUGUGUGAAGAAGGUCUUCGGAUUGUAAAGCACUUUAAGUUGGGAGGAAGGGCAGUAAGUUAAUACCUCGCUGUUUUGACGUUACCAACAGAAUAAGCACCGGCUAACUUCGUG